This 19-nucleotide small nuclear RNA is filed under the name Arabidopsis thaliana (thale cress). Its description in RNAcentral is "snRNA_04540". Lineage: Eukaryota; Viridiplantae; Streptophyta; Magnoliopsida; Brassicales; Brassicaceae. The record is from RNAcentral.
UGAUAGCGCUUAAGCGCGA